RNAcentral lists this long non-coding RNA (315 nucleotides) under Homo sapiens (human). Its description in RNAcentral is "non-protein coding lnc-ADAM10-3:1". Lineage: Eukaryota; Metazoa; Chordata; Mammalia; Primates; Hominidae. The record is from RNAcentral.
AUGGCCCAGUUUGUCUAAAACAUUACUGAGAAGGCCCCAACACCACCAACGAACACUGCUGUGACUUACUUGAAAACCUGGUUGGCUAUAUUUUGGCACUGUGCCAAGGUUGAGCUGGUUCCUCCAAGUCCUGCUUAGAUUCCUAGUUAUUCAGAGCUUUAAAAAAAAUAGCUGGUAACUCUCAAACUGAUAGCUUCAAACAGCUCACAGUUAAGGAAGCUAUGCUGAAUGGUUUGGUGGCCACUGAGGUGUGGAUGUGAUUUUAUAUCCAAGAGCACAAAGGCAAACAUGGCAUCACUGGCUAUAAUGUUUGAA